CAAAGAUUGACAUUAUAUAGUUCUCAUGGAUGCUGGUGACUUUUUCCUUUGUUCUUCUCCAUAUUACUGUGCUCAGAAAUAUGUCACUGUUGGAAUUCCAGACUACAAGGAUGCCUUCCCCAGUAAUCAUCUUACACAGCAUAAGAAGUUCAAGCUGCACCCUUCUGCUGAAGUCCUCUGAGUAAAUUAGAUCAAAGAUGUUUUGGGCAGCUUUUCCAACUCCAGUCAGUCAAACCAAACAAAACCCAAUGAAGUGAAUGCCUUCUUGAUAAGGACUGCAUUUCUGGAGAAAAAAACAACCACCUAAAAAAAUCCUAUGGACCUCAUCAGACUCAAGUGGCAAAGAAAUCAAGCCAUUUCUCAAGCAGGAAAACUAUUUUUCAGGGAACAACCCUCAAAGAAAGGAGCUACUCCAGGAAGAUGAACAGUGUCUCAUGAAUGUCUCCUCCUAUUAAGCUGACCAAGGAGGGCUUAAUGAAGCUACAAUGUAGUUGGCAGUAAGGCUGAUGGUUUGAAAUCUGAAGGACUAGCACUAACUAAAAGAUGCAUCAGGUUUGACUUGGACUAUGUUGAUAAUGGCUCCCUCUACUGGGCAGAAUCAAUUGGUGAUAUUUACCUUGAGUGACCUAAGAUCUCAGAACACUGAGGAUUAAAAGGUGUUCAGCAUGUUCAAGUAUUUUCUUUGGCCUGGUUGAGCAGUACACCACCACAGAUAAAUUAGGUAUGAAUUAAUUUCAAUGCAGAGGCUUCAGGAGGCAUACUUUAAAUACAGCUGCAUCCUCUUCAAGGCUUUGUCUUCUGGGAUAACAGAUAAUAUUAUAGAAUGUGCUUACCUGAAGGGUUUGUAUUGCCUGAUGAAGAGCCCACCUUUUCUAGG
Molecule: long non-coding RNA, 877 nt
Organism: Ornithorhynchus anatinus (platypus)
Lineage: Eukaryota; Metazoa; Chordata; Mammalia; Monotremata; Ornithorhynchidae
Exons: 7
Source: RefSeq, a predicted model, not a curated record